This 253-nucleotide ribosomal RNA is filed under the name uncultured bacterium. RNAcentral describes it as "partial 16S ribosomal RNA". It matches the Rfam family "Bacterial small subunit ribosomal RNA", at positions 524 to 776 of the family's 1533-position model. The record is from RNAcentral.
UACGUAGGGACCAAGCGUUGUUCGGAUUUACUGGGCGUAAAGGGCGCGUAGGCGGCUUAACAAGUCACUUGUGAAAUCUCCGGGCUUAACUCGGAACGGCCAAGUGAAACUGUCAAGCUAGAGUGCAGAAGGGGCAAUCGGAAUUCUUGGUGUAGCGGUGAAAUGCGUAGGUAUCAAGAGGAACACCUGAGGUGAAGACGGGUUGCUGGGCUGACACUGACGCUGAGGCGCGAAAGCCAGGGGAGCAAACGGG